Molecule: unclassified non-coding RNA, 883 nt
Filed under: Hevea brasiliensis (rubber tree)
Lineage: Eukaryota; Viridiplantae; Streptophyta; Magnoliopsida; Malpighiales; Euphorbiaceae
Source: RNAcentral
UUUUUUUUUUUUUUUUAAUGUUUAGUCACUUAAAACUUGAGAUUCUCUUUAGAAGCCAGUUCACACAAAAGGCUGCUUAAAGUUGAACAUCAAAUUUGUAAUGAGGGUAUUUGAUCCUUGAUACUAAGAGUAAGAGGAACCACAGAAUUGCAUGCAUGAUACAGAAGAAAAAAAUUUACUAUACAGGGGAAGAGGGCAAAUGAGAGAGAGAAAUUUGAUUCAGAAAAAAAUAACUUCUGCUUGUGUAGUUAUACCAUUAGUUGCCCGUUUAAGUGUUUUACUUUUAUGGACAUGUCAAAAUAAUGCAGAUGCUAGUGUUGCCUUUCCUUAAUGCAGUCUCUCUCAUGUGUUAUUUACUUCAUUAAUAAUUUAUUUCUGGUAUUAUAAUAAUUUUAAUAUUUAGGCAAUAAUUUGCUGUGUGUGUAUAUAAUUGAUUUUGAUGAUUGGGAGGGGAAUUUGAACUUUUUUAGAUGCUCUGUAUAGUGAAAAUUUGGCCAUUCCUGACACAUUGCUUGAGGAUAACAUAUUAGAAGUUUUAUGAAUAGCCUUCAAAUAUUAAGUACUGAAGAUUUGACAGACAGCUAUGCGGUGGUUCAGAAGUCCACAAUCUCUGUCAUUGGGAACCACUAGUUGUUCUAAACCUAAAAUGGGUCCAGUUUUCCAAACUUCACACUAUAUUUAAAACCAAUCCUAGUUAGCAGGUCUUUCACUUCUAAAUAGAUUCUGUAUUGAAUUCUUUGACAAGUGAAUUUCAUGGUUUGGCAUACCAUAAGUUAAUAUAAAAAUUCAAUUAGAUUCUUUUUGUAACUUAUGUUUGGAAAAUAUCAUUCUUUCUGAAAAUGUACUUUGAGACAGAGACAGAGAGAGAAGGAGAAAAAAAGAG